AAGAAAGUGAUUAUUUAAGUAUGCUACAGUUGAAAGAGAUGAAAAUGAUGUAUAUAAAUCACUUAAGGAGUAACGAAUAUAAAGAGGAAAUGUGAAAGAACAUGACAAGAUACUAUGGACUCUACUUAAGAGUCUUAAAUAGAUAUUUUCAUUAAAUUAAUUGGUUAACAAACUGUUAAUUUGUAAGUUAAUCCCAUACACUUUGGUAAAACAAAAUGAAACAACGAAUAGUACUAAAAUGUGGCUUGAAUGAAACUAGCAUGAAAUCCAGAGGAUGGGCUCAACACUAA
Molecule: long non-coding RNA, 290 nt
Filed under: Gossypium barbadense (sea-island cotton)
Lineage: Eukaryota; Viridiplantae; Streptophyta; Magnoliopsida; Malvales; Malvaceae
Description: long non-coding RNA (GBAR_LNC009494)
Source: RNAcentral